This 201-nucleotide ribosomal RNA is filed under the name Triticum aestivum (bread wheat). Its description in RNAcentral is "partial small subunit ribosomal RNA". Lineage: Eukaryota; Viridiplantae; Streptophyta; Magnoliopsida; Poales; Poaceae. The record is from RNAcentral.
GCACGGGGCAGCCAGAGGGAGCGCGACCGCGAGCGCGCCGCGGCGCGGAAGCCCAACUCCAAGAACGGCGGCGACGGCCUCACCCCGGAGCAGCGCCGCGAGAGGGACAAGAAGGCGCUGGAGGAGAAGAACGCCAAGAAGGCGGCGCAGGCCUCCGGGAGCACCUCCACGGACGCCAAGGGCAAGGACGCCAAGAAGUAG